AGUGAACGCUGGCGGUAGGCCUAACACAUGCAAGUCGAACGGCAGCACAGUAAGAGCUUGCUCUUACGGGUGGCGAGUGGCGGACGGGUGAGGAAUACAUCGGAAUCUACUUUUUCGUGGGGGAUAACGUAGGGAAACUUACGCUAAUACCGCAUACGACCUACGGGUGAAAGCAGGGGAUCUUCGGACCUUGCGCGAUUGAAUGAGCCGAUGUCGGAUUAGCUAGUUGGCGGGGUAAAGGUCCACCAAGGCGACGAUCCGUAGCUGGUCUGAGAGGAUGAUCAGCCACACUGGAACUGAGACACGGUCCAGACUCCUACGGGAGGCAGCAGUGGGGAAUAUUGGACAAUGGGCGCAAGCCUGAUCCGGCCAUACCGCGUGAGUGAAGAAGGCCUUCGGGUUGUAAAGCCCUUUUGUUGGGAAAGAAAAGCAGCAGGUUAAUACCCCGCUGUUCUGACGGUACCCAAAGAAUAAGCACCGGCUAACUUCGUG
Molecule: ribosomal RNA, 492 nt
Filed under: uncultured bacterium
Lineage: Bacteria
Description: partial 16S ribosomal RNA
Rfam family: Bacterial small subunit ribosomal RNA
Source: RNAcentral